GGGGGCCCGCACAAGCGGCGGAGCAUGCGGAUUAAUUCGAUGCAACGCGAAGAACCUUACCAAGGCUUGACAUGAACCGGAAAUACCUGGAAACAGGUGCCCCGCUUGCGGUCGGUUUACAGGUGGUGCAUGGUUGUCGUCAGCUCGUGUCGUGAGAUGUUGGGUUAAGUCCCGCAACGAGCGCAACCCUCGUUCUAUGUUGCCAGCACGUGAUGGUGGGGACUCAUAGGAGACUGCCGGGGUCAACUCGGAGGAAGGUGGGGAUGACGUCAAAUCAUCAUGCCCCUUAUGUCUAGGGCUGCAAACAUGCUACAAUGGCCGGUACAAAGGGCUGCGAUACCGCGAGGUGGAGCGAAUCCCAAAAAGCCGGUCUCAGUUCGGAUUGGGGUCUGCAACUCGACCCCAUGAAGUUGGAGUCGCUAGUAAUCGCAGAUCAGCAACGCUGCGGUGAAUACGUUCCCGGGCCUUGUACACACCGCCCGUCACGUCACGAAAGUCGGUAACGCCCCGAAGCCGGUGGCCCAACCCUUGUGGAGGGAGCCGUCGAAGGCGGGAUCGGCGAUUGGGACGAAGUCGUAACAAGGUAACCGU
Molecule: ribosomal RNA, 591 nt
Filed under: uncultured bacterium
Lineage: Bacteria
Description: bacterial SSU rRNA
Rfam family: Bacterial small subunit ribosomal RNA
Source: RNAcentral